RNAcentral lists this ribosomal RNA (2271 nucleotides) under Salmonella enterica. Its description in RNAcentral is "partial 23S ribosomal RNA". It matches the Rfam family "Bacterial large subunit ribosomal RNA", at positions 548 to 2802 of the family's 2925-position model. Lineage: Bacteria; Pseudomonadati; Pseudomonadota; Gammaproteobacteria; Enterobacterales; Enterobacteriaceae. The record is from RNAcentral.
ACCUGAAACCGUGUACGUACAAGCAGUGGGAGCACCCUUUGGGGUGUGACUGCGUACCUUUUGUAUAAUGGGUCAGCGACUUAUAUUCUGUAGCAAGGUUAACCGUAUAGGGGAGCCGGAGGGAAACCGAGUCUUAACCGGGCGUUAAGUUGCAGGGUAUAGACCCGAAACCCGGUGAUCUAGCCAUGGGCAGGUUGAAGGUUGGGUAACACUAACUGGAGGACCGAACCGACUAAUGUUGAAAAAUUAGCGGAUGACCUGUGGCUGGGGGUGAAAGGCCAAUCAAACCGGGAGAUAGCUGGUUCUCCCCGAAAGCUAUUUAGGUAGCGCCUCGUGAAUUCAUCUCCGGGGGUAGAGCACUGUUUCGGCUAGGGGGCCAUCCCGGCUUACCAACCCGAUGCAAACUGCGAAUACCGGAGAAUGUUAUCACGGGAGACACACGGCGGGUGCUAACGUCCGUCGUGAAGAGGGAAACAACCCAGACCGCCAGCUAAGGUCCCAAAGUCAUGGUUAAGUGGGAAACGAUGUGGGAAGGCCCAGACAGCCAGGAUGUUGGCUUAGAAGCAGCCAUCAUUUAAAGAAAGCGUAAUAGCUCACUGGUCGAGUCGGCCUGCGCGGAAGAUGUAACGGGGCUAAACCAUGCACCGAAGCUGCGGCAGCGACGCUGAUGCGUUGUUGGGUAGGGGAGCGUUCUGUAAGCCUGCGAAGGUGGCCUGUGAGGGUUGCUGGAGGUAUCAGAAGUGCGAAUGCUGACAUAAGUAACGAUAAAGCGGGUGAAAAGCCCGCUCGCCGGAAGACCAAGGGUUCCUGUCCAACGUUAAUCGGGGCAGGGUGAGUCGACCCCUAAGGCGAGGCCGAAAGGCGUAGUCGAUGGGAAACGGGUUAAUAUUCCCGUACUUGGUGUUACUGCGAAGGGGGGACGGAGAAGGCUAUGUUGGCCGGGCGACGGUUGUCCCGGUUUAAGCGUGUAGGUGUGUGUUCCAGGUAAAUCCGGUUCACUUUAACACUGAGGCGUGAUGACGAGGCACUACGGUGCUGAAGCAACAAAUGCCCUGCUUCCAGGAAAAGCCUCUAAGCAUCAGGUAACAUCAAAUCGUACCCCAAACCGACACAGGUGGUCAGGUAGAGAAUACCAAGGCGCUUGAGAGAACUCGGGUGAAGGAACUAGGCAAAAUGGUGCCGUAACUUCGGGAGAAGGCACGCUGACACGUAGGUGAAGUGAUUUACUCAUGGAGCUGAAGUCAGUCGAAGAUACCAGCUGGCUGCAACUGUUUAUUAAAAACACAGCACUGUGCAAACACGAAAGUGGACGUAUACGGUGUGACGCCUGCCCGGUGCCGGAAGGUUAAUUGAUGGGGUCAGCGCAAGCGAAGCUCCUGAUCGAAGCCCCGGUAAACGGCGGCCGUAACUAUAACGGUCCUAAGGUAGCGAAAUUCCUUGUCGGGUAAGUUCCGACCUGCACGAAUGGCGUAAUGAUGGCCAGGCUGUCUCCACCCGAGACUCAGUGAAAUUGAACUCGCUGUGAAGAUGCAGUGUACCCGCGGCAAGACGGAAAGACCCCGUGAACCUUUACUAUAGCUUGACACUGAACAUUGAGCCUUGAUGUGUAGGAUAGGUGGGAGGCUUUGAAGUGUGGACGCCAGUCUGCAUGGAGCCGACCUUGAAAUACCACCCUUUAAUGUUUGAUGUUCUAACGUGGACCCGUGAUCCGGGUUGCGGACAGUGUCUGGUGGGUAGUUUGACUGGGGCGGUCUCCUCCUAAAGAGUAACGGAGGAGCACGAAGGUUGGCUAAUCCUGGUCGGACAUCAGGAGGUUAGUGCAAUGGCAUAAGCCAGCUUGACUGCGAGCGUGACGGCGCGAGCAGGUGCGAAAGCAGGUCAUAGUGAUCCGGUGGUUCUGAAUGGAAGGGCCAUCGCUCAACGGAUAAAAGGUACUCCGGGGAUAACAGGCUGAUACCGCCCAAGAGUUCAUAUCGACGGCGGUGUUUGGCACCUCGAUGUCGGCUCAUCACAUCCUGGGGCUGAAGUAGGUCCCAAGGGUAUGGCUGUUCGCCAUUUAAAGUGGUACGCGAGCUGGGUUUAGAACGUCGUGAGACAGUUCGGUCCCUAUCUGCCGUGGGCGCUGGAGAACUGAGGGGGGCUGCUCCUAGUACGAGAGGACCGGAGUGGACGCAUCACUGGUGUUCGGGUUGUCAUGCCAAUGGCACUGCCCGGUAGCUAAAUGCGGAAGAGAUAAGUGCUGAAAGCAUCUAAGCACGAAACUUGCCCCGA